UGAAUUGCGAUAAGUAGUGUGAAUUGCAUUUCUGUGAAUCAUCGAAUCUUUGAACGCAUUUUGCGCUUUCUUUUAACGAAGAAAGCAUGUCUGUUUGAGUAUCCUAUAAAUUUGUAAAAGGUGAAGGUUUCAGCAAUGACCUUUGAAAAGCAUGUGUUGACAGUGAGGUAAAAGACGGAUGUUCUUUCCCACUCUAGACAGCCAAUCACAAAGUGAUCUCAAAUCAGACAAGACUACCCGCUGAACUUAA
RNAcentral lists this unclassified non-coding RNA (250 nucleotides) under uncultured fungus. RNAcentral's name for it is "sequence contains ITS1". The stretch from base 1 to 104 matches the Rfam family "5.8S ribosomal RNA", at positions 49 to 154 of the family's 154-position model. Lineage: Eukaryota; Fungi. The record is from RNAcentral.